RNAcentral lists this ribosomal RNA (735 nucleotides) under Staphylococcus epidermidis. Its description in RNAcentral is "bacterial SSU rRNA". It matches the Rfam family "Bacterial small subunit ribosomal RNA", at positions 1 to 718 of the family's 1533-position model. Lineage: Bacteria; Bacillati; Bacillota; Bacilli; Caryophanales; Staphylococcaceae. The record is from RNAcentral.
UUUAUGGAGAGUUUGAUCCUGGCUCAGGAUGAACGCUGGCGGCGUGCCUAAUACAUGCAAGUCGAGCGAACAGACGAGGAGCUUGCUCCUCUGACGUUAGCGGCGGACGGGUGAGUAACACGUGGAUAACCUACCUAUAAGACUGGGAUAACUUCGGGAAACCGGAGCUAAUACCGGAUGAUAUAUUGAACCGCAUGGUUCAAUAGUGAAAGACGGUUUUGCUGUCACUUAUAGAUGGAUCCGCGCCGCAUUAGCUAGUUGGUAAGGUAACGGCUUACCAAGGCAACGAUGCGUAGCCGACCUGAGAGGGUGAUCGGCCACACUGGAACUGAGACACGGUCCAGACUCCUACGGGAGGCAGCAGUAGGGAAUCUUCCGCAAUGGGCGAAAGCCUGACGGAGCAACGCCGCGUGAGUGAUGAAGGUCUUCGGAUCGUAAAACUCUGUUAUUAGGGAAGAACAAAUGUGUAAGUAACUAUGCACGUCUUGACGGUACCUAAUCAGAAAGCCACGGCUAACUACGUGCCAGCAGCCGCGGUAAUACGUAGGUGGCAAGCGUUAUCCGGAAUUAUUGGGCGUAAAGCGCGCGUAGGCGGUUUUUUAAGUCUGAUGUGAAAGCCCACGGCUCAACCGUGGAGGGUCAUUGGAAACUGGAAAACUUGAGUGCAGAAGAGGAAAGUGGAAUUCCAUGUGUAGCGGUGAAAUGCGCAGAGAUAUGGAGGAACACCAGUGGCGA